RNAcentral lists this ribosomal RNA (797 nucleotides) under uncultured Bacillota bacterium. RNAcentral's name for it is "bacterial SSU rRNA". It matches the Rfam family "Bacterial small subunit ribosomal RNA", at positions 1 to 799 of the family's 1533-position model. The record is from RNAcentral. Lineage: Bacteria; Bacillati; Bacillota.
AGGAGAGUUUGAUCCUGGCUCAGGAUGAACGCUGGCGGCGUGCCUAACACAUGCAAGUCGAACGAAGCACUGGAAACGGAGAUUCGUCAAAGUUUCCUUUGACUUAGUGGCGGACGGGUGAGUAAUGCGUGAGCAACCUGCCUUUCAGAGGGGGACAACAGUUGGAAACGACUGCUAAUACCGCAUAAUGUAUUAUGGAGGCAUCUCCGAGAUACCAAAGGAGCAAUCCGCUGAAAGAUGGGCUCACGUCUGAUUAGCUAGUUGGUGAGGUAACGGCUCACCAAGGCUGCGAUCAGUAGCCGGACUGAGAGGUUGAACGGCCACAUUGGGACUGAGAUACGGCCCAGACUCCUACGGGAGGCAGCAGUGGGGAAUAUUGGGCAAUGGGCGAAAGCCUGACCCAGCAACGCCGCGUGAAGGAAGAAGGUCUUCGGAUUGUAAACUUCUUUUAUGAGGGACGAAGGACGUGACGGUACCUCAUGAAUAAGCCACGGCUAACUACGUGCCAGCAGCCGCGGUAAUACGUAGGUGGCGAGCGUUAUCCGGAUUUACUGGGUGUAAAGGGCGCGUAGGCGGGGAUGCAAGUCAGAUGUGAAAUCCAUGGGCUCAACCCAUGAACUGCAUUUGAAACUGUAUUUCUUGAGUGCUGGAGAGGUAGACGGAAUUCCUUGUGUAGCGGUGAAAUGCGUAGAUAUAAGGAAGAACACCAGUGGCGAAGGCGGUCUACUGGACAGUAACUGACGCUGAGGCGCGAAAGCGUGGGGAGCAAACAGGAUUAGAUACCCUGGUAGUCCCCU